This 1946-nucleotide long non-coding RNA is filed under the name Homo sapiens (human). Its description in RNAcentral is "HSALNT0098696". Lineage: Eukaryota; Metazoa; Chordata; Mammalia; Primates; Hominidae. The record is from RNAcentral.
GUAAAUGUGAAAACCAAAGGGAUGGAGUGAGAAUAUAGAGUGAGAGGGAGUGGGGGGCUCUUAAGUCCGUUUGUUCUGGGCUUGAAUCCCACCUGUGGAAUUUACAUAUAGCAUGUGACCCUCAGCCUCAGCUUACACUCUCUAAAAUGGGGGUGGUAGGCUCUGUCUCGCAGGGUUAUGAAGAAUCAAGGAAACGGUGUUUGCACGAGAGCUAGCAGUGGCAGAACACAGAAUGCCGUCUUCAAACUCAAAGAGGCUCCAAAAAUAAGGAUCUGAAUAGGAUAGUGAGGGGCCUAGAAAUGCCCUGUGAGGAAAGGAGUAAGAGACCCAGUCUCUGAAGAGUGGCCACAGAGGAGGGAGGACUGACGUGAAGCCAUCUGAAGAGUGGCCACGGAGGAGGGAGAACCGACAUGAAGCCAUCUGAAGAGUGGCCACGGAGGAGGGAGGACCGACAUGAAGCCAUCUGAAGAGUGGCCACGGAGGAGGGAGGACCGACAUGAAGCCAUCUGAAGAGUGGCCACGGAGGAGGGAGGACCGACGUGAAUCCAUCUGAAGAGUGGCCACGGAGGAGGGAGGACCGACGUGAAUCCAUCUGAAGAGAGGCCACGGAGGAGGGAGGACCGACAUGAAGCCAUCUGAAGAGUGGCCACGGAGGAGGGAGGACCGACGUGAAUCCAUCUGAAGAGUGGCCACGGAGGAGGGAGGACCGAUGUGAAUCCAUCUGAAGAGAGGCCACGGAGGAGGGAGGACCGACAUGAAUCCAUGUGAAGAGUGGCCACGGAGGAGGGAGAACCGACAUGAAGCCAUCUGAAGAGUGGCCACGGAGGAGGGAGGACCGACAUGAAGCCAUCUGAAGAGUGGCCACCGAGGAGGGAGGACCGACGUGAAGCCAUCUGAAGAGUGGCCACGGAGGAGGGAGGACCGACAUGAAUCCAUGUGAAGAGUGGCCACUGAGGAGGGAGGACCGACAUGAAUCCAUGUGAAGAGUGGCCACUGAGGAGGGAGGACCGACGUGAAGCCAUCUGAAGAGUGGCCACGGAGGAGGGAGGACUGACGUGAAUCCAUCUGAAGAGUGGCCACGGAGGAGGGAGGACUGACGUGAAUCCAUCUGAAGAGUGGCCACGGAGGAGGGAGGACUGACGUGAAUCCAUCUGAAGAGUGGCCACGGAGGAGGGAGAACCGACAUGAAGCCAUCUGAAGAGUGGCCACGGAGGAGGGAGGACCGACAUGAAGCCAUCUGAAGAGUGGCCACGGAGGAGGGAGGACCGACAUGAAGCCAUCUGAAGAGUGGCCACGGAGGAGGGAGGACUGACGUGAAUCCAUCUGAAGAGUGACCAUGGAGCAGGGAGGACCGAUGUGAAGCCAUCUGAAGAGUGACCAUGGAGGAGGGAGGACUGACGUGAAUCCAGCAUGUGAGCCCGGGAGAUGGCACAUCCAGAACCAGUGGGUGCAAGGCCCAGGGCAGCCGAAGUCUUCUCCACCUAAGGGGUUUCGGCAGAGUUGUCUAAAACUCAAUACUCCGCCUUACUACAGACCGUGUUCCCCACCAGAAGAACUGAGCUCACUUACGCAGUCAACAAAUACCACCUAUGGGCUGUCCCCACUUGGAUGUUGGCUGGGCUCCACAACUUCAUAGGUCCUGAACAAGAUGCUUGAUUUCCCUCUUCGAACCUGUCUUCCUCACUGCAGUCUGUGCUACGACCAUCCACUCCAUAGCGGAAGCCCAAACCCGCUAGUAGCCUCAAUUUCUUCCCUCGCCUCGUAUCACACCCCUCCCAUCCCAUUCAUGAACAAACUCUAUAGAUUCUCUCUCCAGAUAUGUCUCACAUCCCUCCACUUCUUUUGUCUCUGCAGCCCUCAGUGCAAGCGCCUGCCCCCUCCCACCUGGCUUCCUGCAGGAACCACCCAGCUUGCCUCCUUGCUUCCUGUCUCACUCCACCUAGUCC